This 10317-nucleotide long non-coding RNA is filed under the name Olea europaea (common olive). Its description in RNAcentral is "long non-coding RNA (OEUR_LNC000130)". Lineage: Eukaryota; Viridiplantae; Streptophyta; Magnoliopsida; Lamiales; Oleaceae. The record is from RNAcentral.
AAACUUCCAAAUCAAACACGAAGGAAACCCUCCAUACUUCGGAAAGUCAGCAAACUUUCAAAGCAAGCACAGGGGAAACCACAAAAAUUCACGAGCCGAAUCCUACCCUCCACACCUCCAAAGCAAACUCUGAGGAAACCCAGCAAACUUUCGAAGCAAACACUAAGGAAACCCAGCAAACCUCUGAAGAGAACUCUGGGGAAACCUCAAAAAAUCAAGUGUCAAAUCCCGAUGAAUCCCAACAAAGUUGAUGAAUGUGUUGCCAUUGUAUUUGCAGUUUAUGUAGGUGCCAUUAUGCUGAUGAUCACAUUGAAGGGAUGAUGUUUGUUCAUUCAUUUGAUUGUUUCUUUGUAAUUUGUCUUGUACGGUUAAAUUUCAGUGCAUCAUACUGAUAAAGACAUCGUCUGGGUAAAUUUUAUGGGUGGUCUAAUAUAAUGAGAAAUGACUAUCCUGCUCUUUUCAAUUUCCCUUAUUUUCAUGGCUUGGCAGAAAUUUUUCUUGCUUUACUAUUCCACCUGCCAACGCCCUUCCUUUUCCCCUGUAACAUAGGUGGCAAACGGGGUCGAGCCUUGUUUGCCUUGACAGCACAGCAGAAUGGUGGUGUGAACGAAAACAUCGGAUUGCAAUGAUAUGGAAAUGUUUGGUAUACAAAGUUGUUAUUAAACUAGAAAUUAAAGAAACAAUCAUAGUGAAACCAACCGCUUUUAAAUUUACGAUCAACAGUUGGUGUCAUUGGCGAUUGUUGUAAUCUAAGCAUUGUCAGGGUUAACAAUCUAUGCAUAGUCAAUGAUCACUGAUAAUGUUUUUAUCGAUAAUCUGAUAGAGAGUGCAUAAUGAUAGUAGAUUGUAUUGUUGUCAAUAAUUCUAUUUGAAUCAUUGACAACUAUUUCUAUUAAAAUCAUUGACAAUAAAAUCAUCUACGGACAUCUAUAGAAUUUUUUAUCGGUGGUCUUUGCUUCUUUUAAUCAUUUUCAUAAUUAUUAUGGAAAAAACUUCUAAGCACUAGAGCCACCUUUACUCCCAUACAAGAUUAUAACAAUGCUAAAUGACCUUUGAUCAAAUUCCACGUAGGAUAAGUAUAGAAUGGAUUAAUCACAUUCAUUUAUGCAAAUAAAAUUGGCUUGGGGAAGAUGGGCUCUUGGUCUGAAUUACCAAAAGAAAGGGGACUUGACAAAAAGGAGUGUGUUAUUCUCGUCCAAAUGACAAUCUUAUCACAUAGACUAAGUUAAUAAAUAGAAUGUGUUAUAAGCUCUUCGACUAACACUUUUUUUUCCAUAUCAAUAUUCACCCAAUCUCUAUCCAAUUACAUCUCUUAUGUAAAUCUAAUUGUACAAUGAUUUAAGUAAUAAAGCGUCUUAAAAUAAAAACCUUUAUGUCAUCUUUGUUAUUAUACUGAGACAUUCUCAAAAUUAUCUUUCAGGAUAAUGUAUGACUAACCAUUUUUAUCAGCAUAUUAUCUAUCAAAAAAAUUCUAGUGAUGCAAAUGACACAGUAAUUUUAAUACUUAUGUUUCUGUUGAAUUAGAUGCACAUUGCUUUCGAAAGAUUGCUUGUUUCGAUUCUCGGACAAGCAUGGAGGACGAUAUUCAUUGUUAGUCGAGUACUCAUUGAUGCUAAAAAUGUUGACUGUUUGCUAUUUUUUUAAUAUUUAACGUAAAAAUCAAAGAUUCAAAAAUACUUUAUCACGAAUGGGGUGUGUGUGUGUGUGUGUAUGCAUAGGUGUAUAUAUGUAUAAGAUACAUGAAAAGUAACCAUAGUUGAGUUCAAAUGGUGAAUCAACCAUAGUUAGAACCCUAGUUAGGGUUAACCCCAAAAGUAGUUGUAAAUAAAAGCAAGCCCAUGCCCAUCUGUCUUUUACAAUUAUAGAAAAAUUUUGGGCAUUUUCAGAUUUUCUUCGGGGGGUUUUGACCAAAUUUUUCUAGCUCUCCACAGAAAUUCUCCCCAUUUCAAUUUGGUGGGAAAAAAGAAAAACCACAAAUUCAACUCCAGGCCUUCAGAUUUUUAUUUUAAUCGGUAAUGAUUUCUUUUAUUCUUUACAUUUUUUCUGAAUUUUUAGGUUAAUUAGGAAUUUGGUACUGAAUCUAGGGUUUCAAUCUGGAGUGCUGAAUAUGAAGGUUCGGAAAUGGAAGUUAAUUUUUUUUUUUUUUUUUUUUUUUUUUUAUGGGCUUCGGAUCUAUUGCAAUCUCAAAUUUUGAAUUUUGAGUGUGAUUUGGGAUUUGUGAAUUUUAAAUAUUUUUUGGUAAUUUUUGCUAGCUGUUGUUUUUUGGGAUUUACUUUACCAUUAGAGCUGUUAUAUUGAGUUCAUGACAUCGUGCGUAGAGAUUAUCAGAAUUUAAAUCAGACAAUGUGUUUCUCCAACUCAAUUACCGUUGAGUCGAUUUGCUGCGUUCUCUGCAAUUUGCUUAAGUGCCAUUGGACUGAAUUGUCUUUAUAUUUCCUUCUCGUUGAUAUCGAAUUGAGAAGGAACUUGCAAUUCGAACUUGGAUUAGAGUUUUAUGCUUGUCUGAAAGAACAUGUGCGUGAUGACCCCAAUAGCCAAUCUUUUCUCAUUUUUUAUGUACUGCUCCAACCUCCGUGGUAGACAUAUAUAACUUAAUCCAGUUCUUGUAAAUGAUGGUGCAUUAACAUACACCUGUGCAUUUUACUUGUAACCUUCACUUUAUCAAAAUUUGGCUUAACUUUUGUCAAAUUGUCAUACUCACUUCAGUUUAUCUUUUCCUUUGAAUCGGGUAUUUGAUAUUUUGAUGGAUCUUUAUUGUUGAGAGGUCCUUAGGGUUUAAGUUCAGGUAUUUGUUCUUAUGUUCUUGCUGGUUUUUGGGUGUGUGUACAGUUAACAUGCCAUAUUAAGACUGUACCAAAAACGGGUGAACAGUUGGGAACCAAGUCAUUUUAAAAAUAUGGAGUGCAAUAGAGAUGAGGCCCUCCGUGCAAAGACAAUUGCUGUGGGCAAGUUAGAGAAGAAGGAUUUUGCUGGCUCUAAAAAAAUUGCCUUGAAAGCCCAAACAUUGUAUCCAGGACUUGAGGGUAUCUCACAAAUGUUGACAACACUUGAUGUGUAUAUUGCUGCAGAGAAUAAAAUAAGUGGGGAAGUAGACUGGUAUGGAGUGCUCGGUGUCAACCCUUCAGCUGAUGAUGAAACAAUAAGGAAACAAUACAGGAAGUUGGCUCUCACUCUUCACCCAGAUAAAAAUAAAUCUGUUGGUGCUGAUGGUGCUUUUAAACUUCUUUCAGAGGCCUGGAGCUUGUUAUCUGAUAAGGCUAAGAGGUUGGCAUAUAACCAAAGGAGGGGUUCUAGAGGAUACCACCAGAAAGUUCAAAUGCACGCUGGUGGACCAUCAGCAGCAUCCAGGGCAAACGGAUUUCAUAAUAUUGGAAGUAGGUCAACAUCUAUUACAAAGACCCAAAACAAUAGUUCAAGGGUAUCACCUACAUCAGUUCCUACUCCGUCGUAUCAAAGAACUGAUACUUUCUGGACUAUUUGUCACAGAUGCAAGAUGCAUUACGAGUAUCUUAAGAUAUAUCUCAAUCACACUCUUCUGUGUCCCAAUUGUCACGAGGCCUUCAUGGCUUCAGAGACAGCUCCACCAUUCAACUUUUCUAAAUCAUCAAAUCCUGCUUCUCGCCAGCGGAAUCAGAAUUUGAAUAAUCAUGCAACUGCUAGAAAUCAUGUUGACACGGGAAGCAAUGCUGCAGCUGGUCAAAAAUCAGGACCUGGACAAGCAGGUCCUAAUGUGUAUGGGCAUAGAAGCUACCAGCAGGCUCCUCAUUUUGGCCAUACAGAUCCUUCUAUAUCGACAAAAGCAGCAAAUUCUGUUCAGCAGGCACAGGCAUUUCCUGAACCACCUGCUAGGUGGGAAGGAGAAACAAAAAAGCGAAAAAUAGAUGACUAUUUUGGUGCAAAAACUACAUAUAACGUGGCCAUGGCAAAUGGAGGUUUUGCUAGUGCAGGUGCAUCAGGAUCAAGGAUCUAUGGUUUCUCUGGCACUAAUAGUAAACCCAACAGCACCAGAGACCUGACCCCACUAGAAAUGCGAAAUGUGCUAAUGGAGAAGUCUCGAAAAGAGAUUCUGAAGAAGUUGAACGAAUGGAGAUUGGUGACGGCAACAAAGGCUACAGAUAAAGUGAAAGAGAAGGCAAAAGAGGGCAAGAGAAACAAACACCGAAGCACCAGUGGGCAUGAUCAGAAUGGCAAUGGUGGGCUGUCUAUUCGCAUGGUAGCAGAUCGAGCUAACAAGUGUCUUGUUAGCCAUUCUGCUGACACUGCAGGUAAAGAGGAUAAUGUGGCAGCACCCAUGAAUGUUCCAGAUCCCGAUUUUCAUGAUUUUGAUCAGGACAGAGCUGAAAGUUCAUUUGGAGAUAAUGAGGUUUGGGCUGGUUAUGAUGAUGAUGAUGGUAUGCCGCGUUUCUAUGCUCUGAUUAGUAAGGUAAUCUCAAGGAACCCAUUUAAGGUCAAGAUCAGCUGGCUUAACUCAAAAACCAGUAGCGAAUUUGGAUCUCUGGAUUGGGUAGGUUCAGGUUUCUACAAAACGUGUGGUGAAUUUAGAGUUGGCAGAUAUGAAAUCUGCAAAUCUAUCAAUUCUUUCUCCCAAAAGGUUAAUUGGUCAAAAGGCCCACGGGGGACUAUUCUAAUAUUGCCUACAAAGGGUGAUGUUUGGGCACUCUACAGGAAUUGGUCGCCUGAUUGGAAUGAGCAGACCCCGGAUGAAGCCAUACACAAAUAUGACAUGGUGAUGGUACUUGAUGACUACAGUGAGGAACAGGGUGUAUCUGUCGCUCCUCUUGUUAAGGUAGUUGGUUUCAAGACAGUAUUUCGUCCAAAUUUGGACCCCCAAAAGGUCAAGAGAAUACCAAAAGAAGAGAUGUUCCGAUUUUCUCAUAGGGUCCCGAACCACGUGCUUAGGGGUGAUGAAGCUGAAAAUGCUCCAAAAGGUUGCAUAGAGCUGGACCCUGCAGCUACCCCAUUGGAACUUCUUCUGGUGAUUAUGGAAACUAAUGAGGUGCCAACGAUGUCCCAUGGUGAGAGUUCUAAGGAAGAGAAAUUGCAGAGCUCUCCAGAUACUAGGUUAGACGACAUUGCUAAUGUGACCACAGAGGCUCAGGAAGUAGACAGAAAACAGUCUGGAGACCGAGAAACUGGGGGAAAUGGGCUUUGAAGGGUAGCCAGGGAAGCAGCGCUUUUUUGUACGAUGCUGGUAUUUUUUUAACAAAUGUUCAGAGUGCUGGAUAGACACCCAGUAUAUAGACCUUUUCAAUUGCACAAGCCCCGAGUAUAAUUGAAGGAGAAUAGCGUUUUGUUGUGGAAUCGGAAUUGGGUGCAUACUUUUGUUCUUCGUUUUGAACUCGAUAAAUGUGGAGACUCUGAACACUUAAAAGGUAGAUCAAGUCUAACCCCAGUUUUGACAGUUAAAUUGAGUAAAAUUAUGAAGAUGAAGAACUUCAUUCUUCUUUACUGUCUAGGUAAAAGUGAAUGCUUUCUGCCUAUUGAACAUCAUGUAUAAGACAGGAAGUGUAUUCUUUGUCGUGUUACUUGAUUCUAAUGUUAAAAACAUGGAAUUCAUUUUUGUCUUGAAAGACUAAAAACAUUUGUAAGUCGAAAAGGUUCAUUUAUAUUUUGCUGCGUCUUGGAAUUGACAUGCGCAAGUAUUUAUUUUUCUUUUGUUGUGAUAUACAUAUUUCUACCCUCGGAGAUGCAAGUGGUGAUCCGAUGCACGGUUUUUUGUUUUGUUUCUUUGUUAAAAUUAGCAUAAUUUUUCUUAGAUGCAAUGCGCCUCUUACAUCAAAGCUAGAUGGUGAGCUUAUACAAUGUGCACGGUGAGCCUUCUGGAAUUAUGAAAAGAGUCAACGAGACUAGGUAUCUUAUUCAGUAUCCACUUGGAUGGGACCACGUUGAACCAUCUCAACUGAAAGUUUAAACUAUUAGAAUGAGACUUCAUUUUUCUAAAUUUAUAGUUUGACACAUCACAAGAUCUGUGAUGAGCAGCAAAUUUUUAUAUACAACAAACUUAUUGCUCGACCAUACGGCAAAAAUCACAUAUGAUCAAGCUGGUGCAUCUACAGGUGAAGACAAUAUUUUAACGGUGGUGCUAGUGGUACAUAGGGGUGGACCUCCCGAAUAAAAUUUUUUUUAUUCGGGUGAAUUUCACACCCCAUGUGAGAGAGGUGUACACGCUUUGGUACACUUCAUUAUGUACCACUAGAUUAAUUCAUAUUUUAAACACAUAAACAGGAUCUCCCACUUUAAUGCUCUUCCUCUUCCCUUGAGUUAGGAAUCAGUUCAGUACAAACCAUGUUUUUUCCCAAAAUAUACCUGCAAAAUUAAGUGCUUAAGUUUACACAAUUAAGUAGAUUUAUAUAAAAGUCGUCAAAAAUGCCAGCUUUCUAGAGCUAAACUGAUCUUCCCCUGCUGUUUCUUGUUUGGACGCAGAAGUGCGGAACUCUAUCAGAACGGAAGUUCAUAAGAGUCUCGGUAGGCUCAGAGCCUGCCACCGCGGUUUCUUGAUUUAUUAUGGGUACCUAAGAAUUAUGAAAAAUUUCAAGAACACGAAGAACGUUCCGGCAUUUCAAAGAAAAAGAUCAAGUUUUUGAAUGCAGGAACUUAGAAACUCAAUUUUCCAGUGCAGGAAUUCAUGGUUUAUAGAUUCCUUAGUAACAGAAAAUCAGAAUUUUGGCAAAAUAAUUUUAAUCAGUCUGAAGCAUUUGUAUAAAUACAGUUACUCUAAAUGAAAUUUUAAUAUGCAACGAACAUAUUCUCGAAGAAUGAUGACAUGUUGAUGAUUUCGAUAUUUGACUAGUUCACCGCCUACUAUAUAAUGAACAACUAAAUUGACGGCUACUCAAUACAUCUAGAGCAUGCUUAGUAUCUAGUAUUCGACAAGAUUGAAAAGUAAAAAAAAAACAUACACGAGUAAAUGAAUACCAGAAUAUCAUGGAAUUGUGAAUCCUCCAAAAGAAAAACAGCAUUGGCGCGCAACCUCUGAAAAUGUUGCGAGGAUAUAAAUGUUUGGAAAAUUAUUGGUGUACAUUAUGGACAUUAUAAUGGUGUCUAAAUGUUUACCUUAAAACGAGAGCAUAGUUAGUUAAAUUAUUGAUCUUGAUCUCUGUUCAUAAAUCCUCGGAAAAGGGUUCGCAUCUAUUAACCUAACAUUCGGGUCUUACCAGUAAUCAUGUCAACAUAUAAUGGAAGAAAUUCUGAAGUCUGCUUUGCAAUAAUAUUAUGAGACGAUUUUCAGGGAGUUUAAUUUCUUCUCUUUUCUAUUUCUUCGUUUCAUAAGAGUUCUUAUUUGGUUCCCAAUCGUCGAAAAAUGCCUCAUAUGGCAGUUCAACUCGAUUUACAGAUUUUUUGUGCAUAUACGAGUGAAACGGGUCGAAGUCGAUCACGUUUUAGUCGUCGGAUCCGUGCAUGCACAAAAAUACAAGGGUCACUUUGAAUCUAAUAGUUUCUAAAUUUUUUGAAAGCGAUGAACAACGAAAUUUGUUUGGACAACCCUUGUCUCGACUUAAAUUUACCUCUAUAAGUAGAGAAUCUCAAAUUUUUAGUAAUAAAAGAUCCAACUAGUAGUACUAAUAAUAACAUUCAUUUUGAUGUACGAACAAUUGGAUUGGUCAAAAUUAAUAACCACUCGAAUUAAAAUUGACCACUUUUCAGGACAAAUGAACUUCAAAUUGGGUAAAAUGGACCUUAUUUAAUUGACUCCAAUUUUAAAGAUGAAUACUGCUAUUUAGGUCAAAUGAAUUUCAAGAUAGAUCAAAUAGAACUUGAUGGAGUUUAAUUGACUCUGAUAUAAAAGAUGAAUAUAUUAAAUUAAAAAUAUAUAAAAAGAGAAAUCGAUAAUAUGUAUGUUAUGCUAUUAUAAUAAUGUUAAGUUAGGCUCCUUUUUAUUUUCUUUCUCGCCUCUGUUGGAAAAUUUUCCAAGAGUAUGCACCUCGAUCAGCUAGAAUUAAGAGAGAAGAAAAUCAUAUAUAACUUCUCGAGUGCAAUGGCAAUUUUAUUCAUGAACAAUAAUGAAGAACAUCGCCUUCAAGUACUGGGUGAGCAUCGCUCGACAUAAUUAUUGCUUUUUUUUAUUAUUAAAAAAUCGAUAACCUUCCUCACUUAUGAAAAGUAAUUAAAAAGUGUUUUUUUUUUUUAAAUUAUAAGUUUUUUGAAUCCUAACAUUAAGUAACAAAAUCAUGUUAACUUUUCCAGCACAGUUCCUUUAUAGUACAAGAGUGAUUAAUAAAAUUUCAAUUUUACCACUUCUCACUUGAGCUAGACUUGAUUUCAUUUACCAAUAAUUUUGACCAUGCCAAGUAACAACUUUAUCAUAAAAUAAAAGUGGGAAAAUUUUUCCACCAGCUAUAUAUAUCGCAUAAAGGCAUUUCGUUCUAUAGCUUGUAUUUGUGUCAUUUAUUUCGGAUUGGCGUGAAGAGAGAUUCUUUGCAUGGCAUUAACAUGGCUUGGUUCAUUUAUCAAGAGUCAUGUCAUCCAAAACAUAUCAAAAUAUUGACUAGCAAAUGUGUUAUCCAACGUUCACUACCAAACAUGACAGUUUACAAUCAAAUACUAUACCUAAUAAUCCAAAAGUUUAUUGGAAAAGCCUCAGUAAAAGCGUCUGAUACUAUCCAAUCUUCUCUACCAAAUACGACAGUAACGUAGUUGAAGACCAUAAUUAUGCUCUAUUUGCCACUCUUUUUAGCACGCUUUCCUUGGCCCUUCUUUGGUGGCCCCCUGCCACGACGUUUCAACAUUUCCAGCUUGUUUAAGCGCCUGUCCACAAUCUACUAAAUGAGGUUCGAAGAAUAAUUCAGACAUGAAAACUCAACUUCAACCUAGUCAAAAGAGAGAGGAAAAUUAAACAGAAUCAAAACUUCAGUUUCACAGUCACUCUACACCCACCAAUCCCCUCUUCUCCGAACCACCACCAUGGGAAAGGGGGGAGGGGGGGAGGGGGUAUGAAUACAGUCAAUUCUCUUGUAAUUAAUAUGGUAGAUUGAAAAGUUAUACUUAUCAAUUAUGAAAUUUUUAAUAGCCCUGAUCAUCAAAAUCUUAAUUUUCAUAUAAUCUUGUCACACAAAUUAAUAAUACUAUUUCCUUCUUGGUGUAUUUUGGUCCUUGUAUACGAUCAUACAUGUGAUCUAAUUUGUGUUUAUCGUUGAGACACUUGUCUAGUCUUUGGUUUGCAUAUCUCUUCUGGUUCGCAUAAAAUCUUUUGUCCACUUUCUGUAGGCACAUUGAAGUAAUUUCUUAUGACAUAAAAAUGAAGACCAUGCAUCUGGCCAUGGUUUGUAUAUUUAUUUAGACUAAUAAUAUGAAUCUCCUAAAUAAUUUCUGGCACUUUCUCUGCUUACGAUAGUUGAAGACAAGGAGACCAUUUCCCUAUUAUUGAUGCUAUAUGCAUGUUUUUGGAAAAUUUUCAUUGUAUGGAUUCCAAAAUUUUAAUUUGGACCUGGUUUAUUAAUUUAAUUAUUUGCUGUUAUUAUUUUUUGGGGGUAUUAAUUACAAGAGCAUAGACUGUAUUAGUAUUUGUAUUAUUUUUUAUUUUUAGGAUGGCGGGAGCUCCUAUUUUUAUGUGAGGCUAUGAGAAGUCUGUUAUGUUGGUUGCACGUUCUCCUAGUAGAUAUUUAUCAAAUUAUUUUACAGGAUCAAGAGAUUGAUCAAGAGCUCGAACUGCUUGUGCUUGCAAGUGAUGGACUUUGGGAUGUUGUGCCCAAUGAGGUAAUCAGUAUCAUAAAUGACCAUUAUUAUUCCUUUCAUCAUAUAUCAGUCCUUUUUUUCUUGGUGCUGUUGGAACUGAACAAUAUAGUCAAUGAGAUUAAUAAUUUAAAUUGUAUAGUUACUUUAUUCAUUUCUGAAAAGGACAAAAACAUAUAUUCUGGUAUUAAUAGUCAUUGGUAUAGUAGCUGAUGCAAGUUUCCACAUAUUUAUCAGGAUGCUAUCUCACUUGCACAAAUAGAAGAUGAACCCAAAGCAGCAGCACGGAAGUUGACAGAAACGGCUUUCACCCGUGGCAGUGCAGACAAUAUUACUUGUAUUGUUGUAAGGUUUCAUCAUGAGACAACAGUACCUGAGGAAACCCAUCAAUCUUUUGAAGCAAACUAUGAGGAAACCCAGCAAACUUCCAAAUCAAACACGAAGGAAACCCUCCAUACUUCGGAAAGUCAGCAAACUUUCAAAGCAAGCACAGGGGAAACCACAAAAAUUCACGAGCCGAAUCCUACCCUCCACACCUCCAAAGCAAACUCUGAGGAAACCCAGCAAACUUUCGAAGCAAACACUAAGGAAACCCAGCAAACCUCUGAAGAGAACUCUGGGGAAACCUCAAAAAAUCAAGUGUCAAAU